AAAAGGUGUGGGACUGUUGAAGGUCUGACGCUUUGGGCUGCCCCUAAGAUAAAACUGAGACAACUGAUGAUUCCUGAUGAUUUCUGGAGUUAUACAUAUGAUUUCUACAUAGGUUUAUGGAAGUUUAUUCAUGGUGGACAACAGAGAUAAUUAUAUUUUUGGAAAGUGUAGGUCACACUGAAUCUAAAAAUCAGUGUAUCAUGUCUGUGCAUUCAGUCUGAACUGAAUUAAGAAAAAGGAAUAUGACUUUUGAGUGUAGAUGCAACUGUAUGCAAAUGGUUUUGAAGUAUCUUUAUUGCCUCCAUGAGCUGUGCAUUGCAGCCAAUGCUGCUGCACCUGUCCCUUUUGCCUAGCGCAGUGUCCUUGCGCCUUUCCCUCAGGUGCACCGCCCCCCGCCCUUCAAUUCUCCCAUGCACCCUGAAGGAAACCUGUUUUGUUUUUAAUAAAAAUAUGACAAAAACUCAUUAUAACAAAGGGUCCACGUAGUUUAGGAACAAAAAAAAACAACCUGGUGACACACACACAGCAGUUGCAGACAUUAAGAGCCUUUAAUUGGGGCACUUGUCAAAAGCCACUUUUCCUGCAGCAGGCCUCAGAAACAGGACUAAGCUAUUAGAGUAAGCCGGCUCUGACUAAAAUUCAACAGCUAUGUGUGUGUGCGUGCGUGGGUGUUUGUGGUUUAGCUGCUUAAGCUCAAAGAUUUGCCAGCUGGCUGUGUGUUGCCACAAUCCUUCAUUGUUCCUGGCCAGAUCAUCAACUAUUAGGAAGGAUUUAGUCACAUCCACAUUGCUUUCUCAGCUUCUGUGUUUAGGUUAACUCCACCAGAGGAAAAGCCCGUCUGCUGGCUGCUGAGGCAAAAAGGCCGAGUUGGCAUCUCAAAGAGGGAACUGAUUGGCUGAAUAAAUGGGGGGUGGGGUGGUGGUGGUGGUGGUGGUGGUAGUUGCCAUGCAGAAAGUCUCUUCCAUCCCAUCUCUCAUUUCUGCUGGAUAUAUCUUUAUAAAACUGUACAUAUAUCUUUGUCUCUCUGUAUAUUAGACUCCCCAUCUUUCAUUGCUGAUGCUGUCUUUGAUUUUUUUCUCUUUUGCAACUCUUUGUUUCCUCAGAUUGACUGUUUUUCUCUAACUCCCAGUCUCUCUUCACACCGCACUUUUUUCUACAACCAAUCAAUUGUCCCAUUCCCUUUUCUCUGCUUCAUCUCACCUCUCCAACCAGCUCCACAGCUGCAGAGCUGGUGUGUUGCUAGGGGUGUGGCUGUCUCCUCCUGCUGGCUGAUUACACACACCUGUUUCCACUCCGCUCGUUCUCCCUUCGCCUUCUUAAGCCCGGCCUUCACCCCAGUCCUUUGCCAGAGUAUUCCUUGCUGUAUCCUGUGUGCAAGCUCUCAGCGCUACCUGCGUUUGGAUUCUCCUGUUCUCUGUGGCUACCUGUGUUCUCCAGUGGCAGCGUUUUCUGUUCCUCGUGUCUUCAGUACUUUCUAUAGUCAGCCAGUCGCCUGCCACGCUGCCUGCCUAUUGUUCCUGUGUUUUCAUCAGUGCCUUAUUAAAGAGCCAUCUGUUGGUACUUA
Molecule: long non-coding RNA, 1564 nt
Organism: Lates calcarifer (barramundi perch)
Lineage: Eukaryota; Metazoa; Chordata; Actinopteri; Centropomidae
Exons: 2
Source: RefSeq, a predicted model, not a curated record